This is a small nuclear RNA of Saimiri boliviensis boliviensis (Bolivian squirrel monkey), 107 nucleotides long. The record is from Ensembl. NCBI's taxonomy places the organism in Eukaryota, Metazoa, Chordata, Mammalia, Primates, Cebidae.
GUGCUUGCUUUGGCAGCACAUACACUAAAAUCAGAAUAGUACAGAGAAGAUUAGCAUGGCCUCUGCAUAAGGAUGACAUGCAAAUUCAUGAAGCACUCCAUAUUUUU